Molecule: ribosomal RNA, 498 nt
Filed under: uncultured bacterium
Lineage: Bacteria
Description: partial 16S ribosomal RNA
Rfam family: Bacterial small subunit ribosomal RNA
Source: RNAcentral
AUUGAACGCUGGCGGCAUGCCUUACACAUGCAAGUCGAACGGUAACAGGUCUUCGGAUGCUGACGAGUGGCGAACGGGUGAGUAAUACAUCGGAACGUGCCUAGUAGUGGGGGAUGACUACUCGAAAGAGUGGCUAAUACCGCAUGAGAUCUACGGAUGAAAGCAGGGGAUCGCAAGACCUUGUGCUACUAGAGCGGCCGAUGGCAGAUUAGGUAGUUGGUGGGAUAAAAGCUUACCAAGCCGACGAUCUGUAGCUGGUCUGAGAGGACGAUCAGCCACACUGGGACUGAGACACGGCCCAGACUCCUACGGGAGGCAGCAGUGGGGAAUUUUGGACAAUGGGCGCAAGCCUGAUCCAGCAAUGCCGCGUGCAGGAUGAAGGCCUUCGGGUUGUAAACUGCUUCUGUACGGAACGAAAAGCCCCGGGUUAAUACCCUGGGGUCAUGACGGUACCGUAAGAAUAAGCACCGGCUAACUACGUGCCAGCCGCCGCCGUAA